This 82-nucleotide transfer RNA is filed under the name Bacteroidota bacterium. RNAcentral describes it as "tRNA-Leu". It matches the Rfam family "tRNA". Rfam says of the family: Transfer RNA (tRNA) molecules are approximately 80 nucleotides in length. Their secondary structure includes four short double-helical elements and three loops (D, anti-codon, and T loops). The record is from RNAcentral. Lineage: Bacteria; Pseudomonadati; Bacteroidota. RNAcentral also lists the same sequence under 8 other names.
GCGGAUAUGGCGUAAUUGGUAGCCGCGCUAGACUUAGGAUCUAGUGCCGAAAGGCGUGGGGGUUCGAGUCCCUCUAUCCGCA